AUCCGCCAUGCCGCGUGAUGUGAAGAAGGCCUUCGGGUUGUAAAGCACUUUCAGCAGGGAGGAAGGCUUACCCCUAAUACGGGUGAGUACUUGACGUUACCUGCASAAGAAGCACCGGCUAAUUUCGUGCCAGCAGCCGCGGUAAUACKAAAGGUGCAAGCGUUAAUCGGAAUUACUGGGCGUAAAGCGCGCGUAGGCGGUGUGUUAAGUCGGAUGUGAAAGCCCAGGGCUCAACCUUGGAAUUGCAUCCGAUACUGGCACGCUAGAGUGCAGUARAGGGAGGUGGAAUUUCCGGUGUAGCGGUGAAAUGCGUARAGAUCGGAAGGAACACCAGUGGCGAAGGCGGCCUCCUGGACUGACACUGACGCUGAGGUGCGAAAGCGUGSGGAGCAAACAGGAUUAGAUACCCUGGUAGUCCACGCUGUAAACGAUGUCUACUAGCCGUCGGGGUCCUUAGUGACUUUGGUGGCGCAGCUAACGCGAUAAGUAGACCGCCUGGGGAGUACGGCCGCAAGGUUAAAACUCAAAUGAAUUGACGGGGGCCCGCACAAGCGGUGGAGCAUGUGGUUUAAUUCKAUGCARCGCGAAGAACCUUACCARGWCUUGACAUCCUCGGAACUUGGCASARAUGCCUUGGUGCCUUCGGGAGCCGAGUGACAGGUGCUGCAUGGCCGUCGUCAGCUCGUGUCGUGAGAUGUUGGGUUAAGUCCCGUAACGAGCGCAACCCUUGUCCUUAGUUGCCAGCACGUCAUGNUGGGAACUCUAAGGAGACUGCCGGUGACAA
Molecule: ribosomal RNA, 784 nt
Filed under: uncultured Oceanospirillales bacterium
Lineage: Bacteria; Pseudomonadati; Pseudomonadota; Gammaproteobacteria; Oceanospirillales
Description: bacterial SSU rRNA
Rfam family: Bacterial small subunit ribosomal RNA
Source: RNAcentral